CAGUGCCUCACAUGUGCUAGGCUAGUGCUCUACCACUGAGCCACAACCAGUCCUGCUACUUUAUUUUUAGUACUUGGAAUGUAAGUCUUAUCUCAACUGUUAGAUUCUGAGCUGCUUGUCUUACAUCUCUAUAUUUCCUGAAUAACUUCCUCUAUGCUUGAUAUAUAAUAAGAAAUCAACAGUAAGUACUUAUGAGUGACUAAACUGCCAUCAGUGGGGACAAGGGAUCUUUGAUGUCCUCACAACAAAUCAACAACAGCUACUGGGAACAUGGAGGGAUCACACUAAUUCCUAUAAAGUACAUCAUAGACAUCCCCCAGGGCCCUUGUUACACCCCUCAGAUACUGCUAGUCAAUCAUGGCACUCUUUUCUCUCUGAACAUGGAUAUGGCAUCUGAGCCUGGUCAGCACAGUACCAAAGAGCCACCUCCAUUGAUUGGAGUUCACAAUGGAGAAUGAGCUUUAUUUUUUCCAGCUAGAUCUAAGGGCCCCAUUUUACAGAGGAGGAAACAAAGGCCAAGAGAAGUCCAGAGAUAGAAUCAGGUAGAGCAAUUCCUGAAAACAGCUAAGUAGCCAAUCUAGGCACAGCAUACAUUCAUCUACAGCACUGCAUGAUACUUUGCUAGAAGCCCCUGUGAGAUCUUAACCAGAUCUUUAGUCCUACUUCAUUGGUUCCAAAAACCAAUCUUGAGACUCUGGGAACUUGGGGACUCUCCACUCAGUUCAAGAGUGACUCCUUGAAAUUUAGAGAUGUACUCUUCAUGUCAGGUCAAUUUCACCAUGUGGGCCAGCAGAAGGCCGAGGGACCAGGCAGGUCAGGGGUGAAUCCCACUUCUGUAUCUAUUAGCAGGCAAGUCACAUCUGUGAACCCCAGCUGCAAAAACCUAUAAAAUGGGGAUAGUUAGACUCAUCGCACAAGGUGACUGCAGGGGACCCUUGAAGAUAGUCAGUAAAUGUGAGUCUCCCCUUCCUUGCAGUGUGGGGAAGUAAGGACAUUCAGGGGGCCUCUUUGCUCUUACCCUCCACAAACACAAACACUUUCUCCCCAUCUCUAAGGUAGGCUUUCCUUUUGAGGUUAUUUAACUGAGAUAUACAAUACGUUAAUGAGUAUUAGUCUGCCAGUAAUCAUUUAUAAAUUAUAAUACUAAAUUGAAAGAAAGAAGUGGAACUUCUUCCUUAAUCCUGGACUGUCAUCCCCAGUGCUUAAGCCUCAGGCACAGUGGUUUUCAGCUGGUCUGUUCUAACUUAGGGGCCUGUGCUGAGCUCUGCAGAGGUGACUGGGACUGUGGACCAGGGGAGCACUGUGUCAGCACCGGGUGUGGACAUGAUUGUGCUUCUGACUAAACACAGUUUCUGCCUGCAAUGAUGGGACUGUCUGGAGAUUCUUGACUGGAAAGAGAAAUGAAAAUCAGGACCUGUGGAUGGAGACUACAAGUAGUAUGGAGGAAGGGAAGAGGAGGUGUUUGUUUCAAUAAAUAAUCACUUUAAAAGCA
Long non-coding RNA from Marmota monax (woodchuck), 1492 nucleotides. RefSeq lists it as uncharacterized. NCBI's taxonomy places the organism in Eukaryota, Metazoa, Chordata, Mammalia, Rodentia, Sciuridae. The record is from RefSeq and is a predicted model, not a curated record. The transcript has 2 exons.